Molecule: ribosomal RNA, 377 nt
Filed under: Pestalosphaeria sp. G17
Lineage: Eukaryota; Fungi; Ascomycota; Sordariomycetes; Amphisphaeriales; Amphisphaeriaceae
Description: SSU rRNA
Rfam family: Eukaryotic small subunit ribosomal RNA (bases 1-336)
Source: RNAcentral
GUUUAUUUGUGUCCCUUACUACUUGGAUACCCGUGGUUUUCUAGAGCUAAUACAUGCUAAAAACCCCGACUCACGAAGGGGUGUAUUUAUUAGAUUAAAAACCAAUGCCCUUCGGGGCUCUUUGGUGAUUCAUAAUAACUUUUCGAAUCGAUGGCCUUGCGCCGGCGAUGGUUCAUUCAAAUUUCUGCCCUAUCAACUUUCGAUGGCAGGGUCUUGGCCUGCCAUGGUUACAACGGGUAACGGAGGGUUAGGGCUCGACCCCGAAGGAGCCUGAGAAACGGCUACUACAUCCAGAGGCAGCAGCGCGCAAAUUACCCAAUCCGAUUCGGGGAGGUAUGCAUAAAUACUGAUACAGGCUCUUUUGGCUGAAGGAAUGA